CACACCGUCACCUCUGCUGGGUUUUCUUCCAAUCAGAGACGUCGCUGGUCGUUUCUCUCUGUUGAAUUACAGCCUGAAUGAUCUGACGUGACCCACUGACACUGAUUUAAUGGAUCCUUUUGGGGUCUGAAAGUUCUGUGAUCGCCGUCGCUGAAGCUUCAUCUUUGACCUCCACUUGGAUUCUGACUCCAGGAGGCUAUUUAACCUCAGAGAGGACGACUGUCAGGACGAUUCUGCUGCAGCUGCUGAUCACAUCUGGCAGCCAUCUGCACGUCCUUUCAGCUUACCGUCACUCAGAUCAGAGGAACCUAACCAGGAUGGAGGUUCUGAGUGGACCUUUGGCAGAUCUGGCUCUGUUCCUGCGACAAACCACCACAUCAUCAGACGGACAGAAAGACAGUUUACUUCCUGUUUGGGUGUUGGGUCUGUUGUUUCUGUCUGUCUGCCUUCUGCUGCUGCAGCUGAUCGUCUACUUCAGCUGGAAACUCACUCAGGCUGAAUCUGAUCUGUCAGAGUAUCAGCAGGACAGAAGCUCCAUCUACAGGCGGCCGAGCAGAAACGCUCGGCUGAGGAGGACGAGGAGCGUCGGCGUUCAUUCAGGCUCCUGAACGGACAAAAACUUGAACUUCAAGGCCAGAAGAAACUGUAGAGAAAGCAGCUGCUGCGUCCUGAACACUGGGAUCCAUAAAAACUCCCUCAGAGUCAGGAUUCAUGACAUGAUUGGAACGACUGAAGCUGUGAAAACAUCUGGAUGUUUUGGAUUCUUUAGGGAAACUCCAACAUCUGGAUGAAUCAAAGCAUCUUUUACUGAUGUAUUUAUUUCUGCUUUCCUGCCUAAGCUUGACAUUUCUUGUUUUCAUAUUUUACACAAUAAAAUAAAGCUGACGAGAUUAAAACAA
Amphiprion ocellaris (clown anemonefish) is the source of this 899-nucleotide long non-coding RNA. RefSeq lists it as uncharacterized. The transcript is spliced from 3 exons. The record is from RefSeq and is a predicted model, not a curated record. Lineage: Eukaryota; Metazoa; Chordata; Actinopteri; Pomacentridae.